This 57-nucleotide transfer RNA is filed under the name Bos taurus (domestic cattle). It matches the Rfam family "tRNA", at positions 8 to 63 of the family's 71-position model. Rfam says of the family: Transfer RNA (tRNA) molecules are approximately 80 nucleotides in length. Their secondary structure includes four short double-helical elements and three loops (D, anti-codon, and T loops). The record is from Rfam by way of RNAcentral. Lineage: Eukaryota; Metazoa; Chordata; Mammalia; Artiodactyla; Bovidae. RNAcentral also lists the same sequence under 4 other names.
UGGCUCAGUUGGUAAAGCAUCUGCCUGCAGUGCAGGAGACCCAGGUUUGAUCCCUGG